Molecule: ribosomal RNA, 274 nt
Filed under: uncultured bacterium
Lineage: Bacteria
Description: partial 16S ribosomal RNA
Rfam family: Bacterial small subunit ribosomal RNA
Source: RNAcentral
AUACAGGGGGUGCGAGCGUUAAUCGGAAUUACUGGGCGUAAAGGGUCCGUAGGCGGUUGCUUAAGUCAGAUGUGAAAGCCCCGGGCUCAACCUGGGAACUGCAUUUGAAACUGAGUGACUAGAGUUUAAGAGAGGGGAGUAGAAUUCCGGGUGUAGCGGUGAAAUGCGUAGAGAUCCGGAGGAAUAACAGUGGCGAAGGCGGCUCCCUGGCUUAAAACUGACGCUGAGGUACGAAAGCGUGGGUAGCAAACAGGAUUAGAAACCCGAGUAGUCC